GCUGGGCAUGGUGGUGCACGCCUGUAAUCCCAGCUACUCAGGAGGCUGAGGCAGGAGAAUCGCUUGCACCCAGGAGGCAGAGGUUGCAGUGAGCCAAGAUCACGCCACUGCACUCCAACCUGAGUGACAGAGCGAGACCCUGUCUUAA
RNAcentral lists this non-coding RNA (148 nucleotides) under Gorilla gorilla gorilla (western lowland gorilla). Lineage: Eukaryota; Metazoa; Chordata; Mammalia; Primates; Hominidae. The record is from Rfam by way of RNAcentral.